RNAcentral lists this ribosomal RNA (253 nucleotides) under uncultured bacterium. RNAcentral's name for it is "partial 16S ribosomal RNA". It matches the Rfam family "Bacterial small subunit ribosomal RNA", at positions 524 to 776 of the family's 1533-position model. The record is from RNAcentral.
UACGGGGGGGGCCCGCUUUUUUCUUAAUUACUUUUCGUAAAGGGCUCGUAGGUGGCCAACUAAGUCGGACGUGAAAUCCCUCAGCUUAACUGGGGAACUGCGUCCGAUACUGGAUGGCUUGAGUUUGGGAGAGGGAUGCGGAAUUCCAGGUGUAGCGGUGAAAUGCGCAGAUAUCAGGAGGAACACCAAUGGCGAAGGCAGCUCGCUGGGACGGUACUGACGCUGAGACGCGAAAGCGUGGGGAGCAAACAGA